UACGGAGGGUGCAAGCGUUGUCCGGAUUUAUUGGGUUUAAAGGGUGCGUAGGCGGCCCGUUAAGUCAGCGGUGAAAUCCCACGGCUCAACCGUGGAACUGCCGUUGAUACUGGCGGGCUUGAGUUCGGUCGAGGCGGGCGGAACUGGUGGUGUAGCGGUGAAAUGCAUAGAUACCACCAAGAACCCCGAUUGCGUAGGCAGCUCGCUGGGCCGAAACUGACGCUGAGGCACGAAAGCGUGGGGAGCGAACAGG
This 253-nucleotide ribosomal RNA is filed under the name uncultured bacterium. RNAcentral's name for it is "partial 16S ribosomal RNA". It matches the Rfam family "Bacterial small subunit ribosomal RNA", at positions 524 to 776 of the family's 1533-position model. The record is from RNAcentral.